This is a long non-coding RNA of Pungitius pungitius (ninespine stickleback), 491 nucleotides long. RefSeq lists it as uncharacterized. The transcript is spliced from 3 exons. NCBI's taxonomy places the organism in Eukaryota, Metazoa, Chordata, Actinopteri, Perciformes, Gasterosteidae. The record is from RefSeq and is a predicted model, not a curated record.
ACCCCGAUCACAACUUAGUCAUCCUUUCAUGUCAAUUAUUUCCACUUUUAAAAUAACUGCUUGCUCUUUUCAUUUAAGUGUUUUGGGAGUGUCUGACAGGUUCUUUGUCACAAACAAGUUCUCAAGUCCAUUGCCCCCAGGACAGAAUGCAGAGGGACCAGUUCAAUGGAAUCCUGGUUGAACUCAAUAACCCCGCGUGAAGAGAAGCAACAGUAUAAAGGACGGAGACGGAGACACAGAAAGCACAUCUUCCUGAGAGACAUCACAGACCUCCAUCCUCAGAGCUCCAUCUCCCUUCUUCUCCACCCGACCUCCACAAGAGUCUCUCCACCUGCUGCUGCCUCUUCUCCACCAUGAAGACAGGUGUUCUGCUCCUCCUGCUGGCAGUUGCUGCCAGCCAGGUGGACGUCUCCAUGUCUCAACAAAUGACAUUUGGUAUUUCUGGGGGAGAGUUUGAACUGAGCUCGUGUCCCAUCACCUUCUAUGGACGC